Molecule: ribosomal RNA, 409 nt
Filed under: uncultured bacterium
Lineage: Bacteria
Description: bacterial SSU rRNA
Rfam family: Bacterial small subunit ribosomal RNA
Source: RNAcentral
GACGAACGCUGGCGGCGUGCUUAACACAUGCAAGUGGAGCGACGAACCGGGGGCUUGCCCCGGGGCAGAGCCGCGAGCGGGUGAGUAACACGUGGGUAACCCACCCCGAUGACCGGGACAACCCGAGGAAACUCGGGCUAAUACCGGAUGUGCUCCUUGACUUUGAGGUCAAGGCGUAAAGAUAGCUUCGGCCUUCGCAUCGGGACGGGCCCGCGGCCCAUCAGCUUGUUGGUGGGGUAACGGCCUACCAAGGCGACGAUGGGUAGCUGGUCUGAGAGGACGAUCAGCCACACUGGGACUGAGACACGGCCCAGACUCCUACGGGAGGCAGCAGUGGGGAAUCUUGCGCAAUGCGCGAAAGCGUGACGCAGCAACGCCGCGUGGGGAAGACGGCCUCGGUUCGUAACCC